UUUUUUGCGGAUCCGGGUCCGGAUCCAGGAAGCCAAAAUCUUGGGGAUCCAACGGAUCCGGAUCCUAAGCACUGGUUUAGAGUUACCUUAAGUGUACUUACUAUUAUCGUAUAUAUGAUAUUUAUACAUCACCUUCCAACUAUUCGUAAUUUUUUUCGUUGCCAAAUGAUAAAUUUUAGUUUUCAAAGUUAAGUUUAAAGAAAGAUCAACGGCGACAUUUAUUCCACCCUCGCUAGAAGAAUUCUGUUUCAAACUUGCUUUAUAGUUUUUAACAAUUUAUAGUCAAAUUACUAAACCCUAUUUAAACUCACAAUGUACAUAUUCUUGAUUGUAAAGCUUUCAACAAAUAUGUUUUGAAUGAUUUGAAUUUUGUUAAAUCGAAAUUAAAUUUAGAUUUUUAAGAUUAUUUUAAUUAAUUUUUGUGUUUGAAGAUCUUUAGUAUAAUUCUCAUAAUUUUAUUUAAUUGUAUGUUAAAGGUUUUGUUCGCGAAAAUUUAAUCUGCGUACUGUUCUGUUCUCUGUCUCUCCAUUUACAGAUUCACAACGGUACCUCUUUAAAGCUUGUAUGAUCAAGAUUGGGUGAGAUAUUCAUGAUUUUAACUUUGAAAAUUGGCCAUUGUAAAUGAAGGGUCACUUGAAACAACAACGACAUUUCACUCAUUUCGCAAACAAUUCCUUUAGUUCACGGAUUUUAUGAAACUCUGUGAUUAGCUUUGAACUGUAAUCAAUUCAUUCACCUCCUCCUUCACACAGCAUACUUAACUGUUUUAGGAAAUAAAAUCUGAGCUUUCUUUUU
Long non-coding RNA from Eurytemora carolleeae, 795 nucleotides. RefSeq lists it as uncharacterized. The record is from RefSeq and is a predicted model, not a curated record. Lineage: Eukaryota; Metazoa; Arthropoda; Copepoda; Calanoida; Temoridae. The transcript is spliced from 2 exons.